GAUGAGGAUGUCUGCUUUGCCUGGGGAGAGCGUAGACUCUAAACUCUCCCCAGGCAAAGAAGACAUCCGGAAUUUAAAGGGGAGCUACACAACUUUUGUGGCUUAAUUUAUCUUAAUAUAACAGCUUAAGAGUCAUUGUGAUGGUUCUAUUACCCUUUAUGGGUCGUUUGGUCGCUGUUUCGACUCCCCCCUAGCGCAUCUUGAGAGAAAAAGGGAAUAUGCAAGUCUCUGCCGGCGACCCGCAGCCCACUCUCGCGGGAGUCUCGGGUCUCGCGAAGCACCGAAUUGCUUUACGGCAUACAGACCCACAAACACGGAACCGGCUCGAUGUAACACAAGUAGCGGAGGGAUUGUUGCAUUCAUCAUGGAUCAGCCGACUAAAAUGAGAAAGAGGAACCCAAUGUCGGAGAAACAGAAGAAGAGAAAAGGGAGACUGACCGACAGAGAGGCCAGACACGAGUAAGCGUUGGGCGAGCUUCUCAGGAAUAGAGUGAACUGAAAGAACAAGAAGACUGCAAAUUGGAUGCCGACCUGCCAUGGCCGUGUUGCUCUUGAAAUUUUACAAGCGUUGGCAAACAGCAUUGUUAUGAGGAGGCUUGAUGACCCAAGACAGAUCGGCCUGCCUGCCCUGGUACAGCCACCACCCACAUCCGAACUUGUGCGGGUACAAGUGUCACGAGGAAAUCCAGAAAACCCUCAAGAAGAUGUUACACAAUAGCCAUAAGGCAAAAAACAAACCAUGAAGAACUGUCACUCGCAUUUCUUUCAAUAUCCAAAAUAAAUAUUAUUCUAAC
Molecule: long non-coding RNA, 794 nt
Organism: Gadus morhua (Atlantic cod)
Lineage: Eukaryota; Metazoa; Chordata; Actinopteri; Gadiformes; Gadidae
Exons: 2
Source: RefSeq, a predicted model, not a curated record